RNAcentral lists this ribosomal RNA (240 nucleotides) under uncultured Pseudomonas sp. RNAcentral's name for it is "partial 16S ribosomal RNA". It matches the Rfam family "Bacterial small subunit ribosomal RNA", at positions 111 to 355 of the family's 1533-position model. The record is from RNAcentral. Lineage: Bacteria; Pseudomonadati; Pseudomonadota; Gammaproteobacteria; Pseudomonadales; Pseudomonadaceae.
UAAUGCCUAGGAAUCUGCCUGGUAGUGGGGGACAACGUUUCGAAAGGAACGCUAAUACCGCAUACGUCCUACGGAGAAAGCAGGGACCUUCGGGCCUUGCGCUAUCAGAUGAGCCUAGGUCGGAUUAGCUAGUUGGUGAGGUAAUGGCUCACCAAGGCGACGAUCCGUAGCUGGUCUGAGAGGAUGAUCAGCCACACUGGAACUGAGACACGGUCCAGACUCCUACGGGAGGCAGCAGCC